RNAcentral lists this transfer RNA (74 nucleotides) under Dorea formicigenerans. RNAcentral describes it as "tRNA-Gly(gcc)". It matches the Rfam family "tRNA". From Rfam's summary of the family: Transfer RNA (tRNA) molecules are approximately 80 nucleotides in length. Their secondary structure includes four short double-helical elements and three loops (D, anti-codon, and T loops). RNAcentral also lists the same sequence under 5 other names. The record is from RNAcentral. Lineage: Bacteria; Bacillati; Bacillota; Clostridia; Lachnospirales; Lachnospiraceae.
GCGACAGUGGCUCAGUUGGUAGAGUACGACCUUGCCAAGGUCGGGGUCGCGGGUUCGAACCCCGUCUGUCGCUC